RNAcentral lists this ribosomal RNA (506 nucleotides) under uncultured bacterium. RNAcentral's name for it is "partial 16S ribosomal RNA". It matches the Rfam family "Bacterial small subunit ribosomal RNA", at positions 29 to 523 of the family's 1533-position model. The record is from RNAcentral.
AGUGAACGCUGGCGGUAGGCCUAACACAUGCAAGUCGAACGGCAGCACAGAGGAGCUUGCUCCUUGGGUGGCGAGUGGCGGACGGGUGAGGAAUACAUCGGAAUCUACUUUUUCGUGGGGGAUAACGUAGGGAAACUUACGCUAAUACCGCAUACGACCUACGGGUGAAAGCAGGAGACCUUCGGGCCUUGCGCGAUUGAAUGAGCCGAUGUCGGAUUAGCUAGUUGGCGGGGUAAAGGCCCACCAAGGCGACGAUCCGUAGCUGGUCUGAGAGGAUGGUCAGCCACACUGGAACUGAGACACGGUCCAGACUCCUACGGGAGGCAGCAGUGGGGAAUAUUGGACAAUGGGCGCAAGCCUGAUCCAGCCAUACCGCGUGGGUGAAGAAGGCCUUCGGGUUGUAAAGCCCUUUUGUUGGGAAAGAAAUCCAGCCGGCUAAUACCUGGUUGGGAUGACGGUACCCAAAGAAUAAGCACCGGCUAACUUCGUGCCAGCCGCCGCGGUAA